Molecule: ribosomal RNA, 508 nt
Filed under: uncultured bacterium
Lineage: Bacteria
Description: bacterial SSU rRNA
Rfam family: Bacterial small subunit ribosomal RNA
Source: RNAcentral
UUCUGGCUCAGGAUGAACGCUAGCGGCAGGCUUAACACAUGCAAGUCGAGGGGCAUCGGGAGUAGCAAUACUUGCCGGCGACCGGCGCAAGGGUGCGUAACGCGUGAGCAACAUGCCCGUAUCAGGGGGAUAAUCCAUGGAAACGUGGUCUAAUACCCCAUAGUAAUUAUGUAAGGCAUCUUAUAUAAUUUAAAGCUUUGGUGGAUACGGAUUGGCUCGCGUGACAUUAGCUAGAUGGUAAGGUAACGGCUUACCAUGGCUACGAUGUCUAGGGGUUCUGAGAGGAAGGUCCCCCCACACUGGAACUGAGACACGGUCCAGACUCCUACGGGAGGCAGCAGUGAGGAAUAUUGGACAAUGGAUGGAAAUCUGAUCCAGCCAUGCCGCGUGCAGGAAAGACGGCCCUAUGGGUUGUAAACUGCUUUUGUAUGGGAGCAAUAAGGGCUACGCGUAGUCCGAUGAGAGUACCAUACGAAUAAGCACCGGCUAACUCCGUGCCAGCAGCCGC